RNAcentral lists this small RNA (213 nucleotides) under Pseudomonas sp. URMO17WK12:I6. Its description in RNAcentral is "Pseudomonas sRNA P29". Lineage: Bacteria; Pseudomonadati; Pseudomonadota; Gammaproteobacteria; Pseudomonadales; Pseudomonadaceae. The record is from RNAcentral.
AAACCACAAGGGGAGCCGAAGCUCCCCCAGAAGUAGUUGCGUGCUCUAUUUUUAUUAUUGGUUUCGGGCUUCUUGUUUUUGUUGAGCGCCCUCGCCAUGAAGUUUUCCUUCAUGACCCUCCCAAUCGGGAGCCAAGAGCAAACGGAUUGCUUUGGUCGCUGUGUUGCUAUGAUCGUGUGAUCCAACCAGUUCAGGCACUGCCUAGGGACAGUU